CACUAAGAAGCUGUGCCAGCAUUAACCUUUUAAGUUAAAGACUGAGAGAAUAAAACUCUCCUUAGUGG
Molecule: transfer RNA, 68 nt
Filed under: Tragelaphus angasii (nyala)
Lineage: Eukaryota; Metazoa; Chordata; Mammalia; Artiodactyla; Bovidae
Description: tRNA-Lys
Source: RNAcentral